CCUACGGGUGGCAGCAGUGAGGAAUAUUUGUCAAUGGGCGAGAGCCUGAACCAGCCACGUAGCGUGAAGGAUGACUGCUCUACGGUUUGUAAACUUCUUUUAUAAAGGAAUAAAGUGAAGCACGUGUGCCUUUUUCUAUGUACUUUAUGAAUAAGGAACGGCUAACUCCGUUCCAGCAGCCGAGGUAAUACGGAGGAUCCGUGCGUUAUCCGGAUUUAUUGGGUUUAAAGGGAGCGUAGAUGGGUUGUUAAGUCAGUUGUGAAAGUUUGCGGCUCAACCGUAAAAUUGCAAUUGAUACUGGCAGUCUUGAGUACAGUUGAGGUAGGCGGAAUUCGUGGUGUAGCGGUGAAAUGCGUAGAUAUCACGAAGAACACCGGUUGCGAAGGCAGCUUACUAAACUGCAACUGACGUUGAUGCUCGAAAGUGUGGGUAGCAAACAGGAUUAGAUACCCGAGUAGUC
Molecule: ribosomal RNA, 460 nt
Filed under: uncultured bacterium
Lineage: Bacteria
Description: partial 16S ribosomal RNA
Rfam family: Bacterial small subunit ribosomal RNA
Source: RNAcentral